RNAcentral lists this ribosomal RNA (433 nucleotides) under uncultured archaeon. RNAcentral's name for it is "bacterial SSU rRNA". It matches the Rfam family "Archaeal small subunit ribosomal RNA", at positions 474 to 904 of the family's 1478-position model. The record is from RNAcentral.
UACCUGCAGCUCGAGUGGUAACCGCUAUUAUUGGGCCUAAAGCGUCCGUAGCCGGUUUGGUAAAUAUCUGGGUAAAUCGUGAGGCUUAACUUCACGAAUUUCGGAUAGACUGCCAGACUUGGGAUCGGGGGAGGUCAGAGGUACUCCAGGGGUAGCGGUGAAAUGUUGUAAUCCUUGGAGGACCACCGGUAGCGAAGGCGUCUGACUAGAACGAGUCCGGACGGUGAGGGACGAAGCCCUGGGGGCGCAAACCGGAUUAGAUACCCGGGUAGUCCAGGGUGUAAACGAUGUGGGCUUUGUAUUGGAGGUCCCACGUGGGCGUCCAGUGCAGAAGAGAAGUUGUUAAGCCCACCGCCUUGGAAGUACGGUCGCAAGGCUGAAACUUAAAGGAAUUGGCGGGGGAGCACAGCAACGGGAGGAGCGUAGCGGUUUU